CCCUUUGGGUGUGACUGCGUACCUUUUGUAUAAUGGGUCAGCGACUUAUAUUCUGUAGCAAGGUUAACCGAAUAGGGGAGCCGGAGGGAAACCGAGUCUUAACCGGGCGUUAAGUUGCAGGGUAUAGACCCGAAACCCGGUGAUCUAGCCAUGGGCAGGUUGAAGGUUGGGUAACACUAACUGGAGGACCGAACCGACUAAUGUUGAAAAAUUAGCGGAUGACCUGUGGCUGGGGGUGAAAGGCCAAUCAAACCGGGAGAUAGCUGGUUCUCCCCGAAAGCUAUUUAGGUAGCGCCUCGUGAAUUCAUCUCCGGGGGUAGAGCACUGUUUCGGCUAGGGGGCCAUCCCGGCUUACCAACCCGAUGCAAACUGCGAAUACCGGAGAAUGUUAUCACGGGAGACACACGGCGGGUGCUAACGUCCGUCGUGAAGAGGGAAACAACCCAGACCGCCAGCUAAGGUCCCAAAGUCAUGGUUAAGUGGGAAACGAUGUGGGAAGGCCCAGACAGCCAGGAUGUUGGCUUAGAAGCAGCCAUCAUUUAAAGAAAGCGUAAUAGCUCACUGGUCGAGUCGGCCUGCGCGGAAGAUGUAACGGGGCUAAACCAUGCACCGAAGCUGCGGCAGCGACACUGUGUGUUGUUGG
RNAcentral lists this ribosomal RNA (643 nucleotides) under Salmonella enterica. RNAcentral describes it as "partial 23S ribosomal RNA". It matches the Rfam family "Bacterial large subunit ribosomal RNA", at positions 582 to 1227 of the family's 2925-position model. Lineage: Bacteria; Pseudomonadati; Pseudomonadota; Gammaproteobacteria; Enterobacterales; Enterobacteriaceae. The record is from RNAcentral.